CGCGGGGCUCGAACUCACGACCUGAGCCGGAGUCUGACGCUCAACUGACUGAGCCACCCAGGCGCCUCGACCCCUAUUUAUUUUUUUAAAGUAAUCUCUGCACCCAACGCGGAGGGCUCGAUCUCACCACCCCAAGAUCAUGAGUCACACACUCUACCACUGAGCACGCCAGCUGCCCCAGACCUUCUUUGCAGCGGCGGUCGUCUGCUGAUCUGCUGGCCUUGUCAGCCCUGAAGCACAAUGGAACCUACGUCUUGGAACGCCUGCCGCUGGAGACACAGCUGAGAACGAGACAGCGAACGGCUGCGGACGUUAACAUUCUGGUGCCGGCUGUGGACAGAACGCGAUGAGGACAGGCAGGUGUGACAGUGACCAGGUGGGAAGGGAGACCUCGGGGUGGGUGGAAUCUGAGCCCCGACCUUCAAGGUCGGAAGGGGCGGUCGGCGUGGCCAGUGCCACGGCACGGCCCUCACUUCACUGGAUCCUGUCCUGAGAGCUUCCCGCGGAGCAGGACGGGGUCCCGUGGGGCCAGGAUUUGCUGCCGGAGGCGACACUGGUGGCAACAAGUAACAAGCCAAGAGCCACGGGCCAUCCUGCUGCUCCCGGUCACCUGCCUUUCCGGGAGUGAUCUGGGGGCCUCGGCACUGCUUUCACUUCCGCGGGGGCCACUUCCAGCCCCGAUGGCAUCAGGGACACCGGAAGUUACCCUUGAGGUCAACUCUAAAGGUUAGGCGCACACACAGAGUAGCGAGUCACCCUCGAGUCCGGCCUGCAGGGAGGAACUGUCACUUCAGCACCACGUGACCUCAGGCAGCCGCAGGAAAACGCACACACCCAGUUAUCCUGCAGGUAUUGUGUGAAACGCUCCAAUCCCAAAAUGAGCACAGCACUCUGGGGACAGGAGGAGAUCACCGUUGCUGAGAACCCGGCGCCCCAGCGAGCAAAGGAGGCUGCCAGCACACGGGGUGGGGUGGGCCUGCUGUGGCCAUCCAUCACAUCCUGCCCGGCUGAAGGCAGCACACACCCCUUUGAGACACGGGAAAGCAGUGGGCUCCAGAAGGGGCCUCAAAACUUCUUCCAGGUUCUCUGAACAGCACGAGCAAGCACCCCAGGACCUUUUCCUCAAGGGCCUCCCAGUGCCUGUCAACAUUAAGCACUUACUUUAAGGAGGCCAAAGCAGAGGGACCAUGAACUCCCUGCGGGAAGACAAGGCAGAUGGGGUGGAUCCUGAGCCCGCCCUCCUGGCCUCCACACCUAGUGCUUCCUGAUCCGAUGGUAACCCACAGAACCCCCAUCUUCAAAAAUUACUUUUAGUGGCCCUGGGUGGCUCAGUCGGUCAAGUGUCUGACUUCGGCUCAGGUCACGAUCUCGUGGUUCGUGGGUUCGAGCCCCGCGUCGGGCUCUGUGCGGACAGCCCGGAGCCUGGAGCCUGCUUCGGAUUCUGCGUCUCCCUCUCUCUCUGACCCUCCCCUGCUCGCGCUCGGUGUCUCUCUCUCAACAUUUUUUAAAUUGUGAUAAAAUACGCAUAAAAUGUAACCAUUUCUAAGUGCACAGGUCAGCAGCACCAAGCACGUUCACACUGUCGUGCAGCCACCCCCACCAGCCGUGUCCAGAACUUUCCAUCUCCCCAAACUGAGACUCUGUCCCCAUGAAGCACUGACUCCCCGCCCCCCCCCCCCCCCACUCCACCCCUGGCUCCCACCAUCUACUCUCUGCCUUUGCGGACGGGACUCCUCUGGGGACCCCCUGUGCGUGGGGUCACGUGGGAUGUGUCCUUCUGUGUCUGGCUUCUGUCCCUGUGCACAGUGACCUCCAGGGCCGUCCACGUGGUGGCAGUUCAGUGCGUGGAUGGACACAGUUUAUCCUUACCACCGCACACGACUGUCAUAAACCCCAGAAAACCCGUGUUGGUGACGUGGAAAAAGCACAACUUUUCCACAUCGUGGAGAACAGGUGGUUCCUCCAAAGUUAAAACACAGAAUUACCAUAGGAGCCAGCAAUCCCAUGCCUAGGCACCUACCCAGAAUGGGAAACGUGCGCGAGCAAAUACACGUACUCCGGCCUUCACCGUAAGCAACGUUCACAGGAGCCGAAAAUGCAAGCAAUCCCCGUGCCCACUAGCAGGCCCCUUCUAGAACACACGCCUGGUUCCACCUCCCUUGUCUCCUGACAUAAAAAUCAGACCUAAUAUAACCCAACUACAAUUAGAAAAAAAUA
Long non-coding RNA from Neofelis nebulosa (Clouded leopard), 2217 nucleotides. RefSeq lists it as uncharacterized. The record is from RefSeq and is a predicted model, not a curated record. The transcript is spliced from 4 exons. Lineage: Eukaryota; Metazoa; Chordata; Mammalia; Carnivora; Felidae.